AGGGAUAUAACUCAGCGGUAGAGUGUCACCUUGACGUGGUGGCAGCCUAGAAGGCAUCAGUUCGAGCCUAAUUAUCCCUA
Non-coding RNA from Rhododendron griersonianum, 80 nucleotides. The record is from the annotation of a GenBank genome assembly. Lineage: Eukaryota; Viridiplantae; Streptophyta; Magnoliopsida; Ericales; Ericaceae.